Molecule: ribosomal RNA, 575 nt
Filed under: Hepatozoon sp.
Lineage: Eukaryota; Apicomplexa; Hepatozoidae
Description: bacterial SSU rRNA
Rfam family: Eukaryotic small subunit ribosomal RNA
Source: RNAcentral
UAUCAGCUUUCGACGGUAUGGUAUUGGCUUACCGUGGCAGUGACGGUUAACGGGGGAUUAGGGUUCGAUUCCGGAGAGGGAGCCUGAGAAACGGCUACCACAUCUAAGGAAGGCAGCAGGCGCGCAAAUUACCCAAUUCUAACAGCAUAAGAGAGGUAGUGACAAGAAAUAACAAUACAAGGUAAUUAAAUUGCUUUGUAAUUGGAAUGAUAGAAAUUUAAACACUUUUUAAAGUAUCAAUUGGAGGGCAAGUCUGGUGCCAGCAGCCGCGGUAAUUCCAGCUCCAAUAGCGUAUAUUAAAAUUGUUGCAGUUAAAAAGCUCGUAGUUGAAUUUCUGUUAAAAAUAACCGGUCUGCUUUUAUUAAAAGUGGUAUCUUGGUGUGUUUUUAGCAAUAAUGUCCUUUGAAAUGUUUUUUACUUUAUUGUAAUAAGUCAUUAUUUUGAGGAUUUUUACUUUGAGAAAAUUAGAGUGUUUCUAGCAGGCUUACGCUUUUGAAUACUGCAGCAUGGAAUAAUAAGAUAGGAUUUUAGUUCUACAUUAUUGGUUUUAAGAACUAAAUUAAUGAUUGAUAGGG